This 302-nucleotide ribosomal RNA is filed under the name uncultured bacterium. RNAcentral's name for it is "partial 16S ribosomal RNA". It matches the Rfam family "Bacterial small subunit ribosomal RNA", at positions 508 to 807 of the family's 1533-position model. The record is from RNAcentral.
GCAGCAGCCACGGUAAUACGGAGGGUGCAAGCGUUAAUCGGAAUUACUGGGCGUAAAGCGUGCGUAGGCGGCUUCUUAAGUCGGAUGUGAAAUCCCUGAGCUUAACUUAGGAAUUGCAUUCGAUACUGGGAAGCUAGAGUAUGGGAGAGGAUGGUAGAAUUCCAGGUGUAGCGGUGAAAUGCGUAGAGAUCUGGAGGAAUACCGAUGGCGAAGGCAGCCAUCUGGCCUAAUACUGACGCUGAGGUACGAAAGCAUGGGGAGCAAACAGGAUUAGAUACCCCGGUAGUCCCUGUCUCUUAUAC